This 432-nucleotide ribosomal RNA is filed under the name uncultured bacterium. RNAcentral's name for it is "partial 16S ribosomal RNA". It matches the Rfam family "Bacterial small subunit ribosomal RNA", at positions 29 to 507 of the family's 1533-position model. The record is from RNAcentral.
ACGAACGCUGGCGGCAUGCCUCACCCCUGCAAGUCGAACGCGACCUUCGGGUCUAGUGGCGCACGGGUGCGUCACGCGUGGGAACCUGCCCUUAGGUUCGGAAUAACUCCCCGAAAGGGGUGCUAAUACCGGAUCAUGUCUUCGGACCAAAGAUUUAUCGCCUUUGGAUGGUCCCUCGUUGGAUUAGCUAGUUGGUAGGGUAAAAGCCUACCAAGGCGACGAUCCAUAACUGGUCUGAGAGGAUGAUCAGCCACACUGGGACUGAGACACGGCCCAGACUCCUACGGGAGGCAGCAGUGGGGAAUAUUGGACAAUGGGCGAAAGCCUGAUCCAGCAAUGCCGCGUGAGUGAUGAAGGCCUUAGGGUUGUAAAGCUCUUUUACCCGGGAUGAUAAUGACAGUACCGGGAGAAUAAGCUCCGGCUAACUCCGUG